AACGAACGCUGGCGGCAUGCCUAACACAUGCAAGUCGAACGAGACCUUCGGGUCUAGUGGCGCACGGGUGCGUAACGCGUGGGAAUCUGCCCUUGGGUUCGGAAUAACAGUUAGAAAUGACUGCUAAUACCGGAUAAUGUCUUCGGACCAAAGAUUUAUCGCCCAGGGAUGAGCCCGCGUAGGAUUAGCUAGUUGGUGAGGUAAAGGCUCACCAAGGCGACGAUCCUUAGCUGGUCUGAGAGGAUGAUCAGCCACACUGGAACUGAGACACGGUCCAGACUCCUACGGGAGGCAGCAGUGGGGAAUAUUGGACAAUGGCGAAAGCCUGAUCCAGCCAUGCCGCGUGUGUGAAGAAGGCCUUCGGGUUGUUAAGCACUUUAAGCGGGGAGGAAGGGCGUACGGUUAAUACCUGUGAGCAUUGACGUUACCCG
Molecule: ribosomal RNA, 431 nt
Filed under: uncultured bacterium
Lineage: Bacteria
Description: bacterial SSU rRNA
Rfam family: Bacterial small subunit ribosomal RNA
Source: RNAcentral